Molecule: ribosomal RNA, 465 nt
Filed under: uncultured bacterium
Lineage: Bacteria
Description: bacterial SSU rRNA
Rfam family: Bacterial small subunit ribosomal RNA
Source: RNAcentral
CUACGGGAGGCAGCAGUGGGGAAUAUUGGGCAAUGGGCGCAAGCCUGAUCCAGCAAUGCCGCGUGGGUGAAGACGGCCUGCGGGUUGUAAAGCCCUUUAGGCGGGGAGGAACGGCGUCGUGCGAACAGUGCGGCGUUCUGACGGUACCCGCGGAAUAAGCACCGGCCAACUCCGUGCCAGCAGCCGCGGUAAUACGGAGGGUGCGAGCGUUAAUCGGAAUUACUGGGCGUAAAGCGUGCGUAGGCGGUUUUGUCAGUCAGCCGUGAAAGCCCCGGGCUCAACCUGGGAACGGCGGUUGAGACGGCGAAACUGGAGUGGGCUAGAGGACCGUGGAAUUCCCGGUGUAGCGGUGAAAUGCGUAGAGAUCGGGAGGAACACCGAUGGCGAAGGCAGCGGUCUGGGGCCACACUGACGCUGAGGCACGACGGCGUGGGGAGCAAACAGGAUUAGAAACCCGAGUAGUCC